GGUUCCGGCAUCGAUGAAGAACGCAGCGAAAUGCGAUAACUAGUGUGAAUUGCAGAAUUCCGUGAAUCAUCGAGUCUUUGAACGCACAUUGCGCCCCCUGGUAUUCCGGGGGGCAUGCCUGUCCGAGCGUCAUUGCUGCCCAUCAAGCACGGCUUGU
RNAcentral lists this ribosomal RNA (157 nucleotides) under Aspergillus flavus. RNAcentral's name for it is "5.8S ribosomal RNA". The stretch from base 1 to 132 matches the Rfam family "5.8S ribosomal RNA", at positions 23 to 154 of the family's 154-position model. Rfam says of the family: 5.8S ribosomal RNA (5.8S rRNA) is a component of the large subunit of the eukaryotic ribosome. It is transcribed by RNA polymerase I as part of the 45S precursor that also contains 18S and 28S rRNA. The record is from RNAcentral. Lineage: Eukaryota; Fungi; Ascomycota; Eurotiomycetes; Eurotiales; Aspergillaceae.